Molecule: non-coding RNA, 541 nt
Organism: Paramuricea clavata
Lineage: Eukaryota; Metazoa; Cnidaria; Anthozoa; Malacalcyonacea; Plexauridae
Source: the annotation of a GenBank genome assembly
AAAUGCUGUCCAAUAGCACUUUUGGUCGGAUUGGUAUGUUCAGCGAGUCGCGUCUGUAAACGUCUUUCUGUUUUCCCAAUAUACGUUGCGAAACAGCCAGAACAUGUCACCUCAUAAACUACAUUAGAUUUCGAAAGAUUAUUCUUCACACUAUUUAUUCUCCCACACCUAACUUACUCUUGUUGCUUGAAGCUCUAUAUAUCAAGUAUCAUUCACCCAGUUUAAACACUGGACUCAAAGCCAGCAAAGAACUCAAGCUUUUUUCUUAAUCUAUACACCCACAUUUCAUCACACUUACAUCUCACUGCAACUGUCGUGGUUCUGAUUGAGACUUCCGUUAAGCUGUCAUCAUGCCUUGCCAACUUGUAUGUAAGACCAUGUGUAUAUUGUAACUUUAGUUAGUCUGAUGAUGAUUUUGUAAUAAAAUCGAAAUAUUACUCACUCACUUUCUUGUUUGACUCAUAUUUUGGGUUUCAAGAUGCUUAUCUUCGGAUUAUGUUUUGUAUUAUAUUUUUUGAAAUUGUCGGCUGGUAUUGGUUUU